This 513-nucleotide ribosomal RNA is filed under the name Alopias superciliosus (bigeye thresher). RNAcentral describes it as "partial 12S ribosomal RNA". The record is from RNAcentral. Lineage: Eukaryota; Metazoa; Chordata; Chondrichthyes; Lamniformes; Alopiidae.
GCCCCAAACAAGUUACAGAACAGUCACUUAUUUAUGUUUCCGCCCGAAGUACUACAGGCGCUAGCUUAAAACCCAAAGGACUAGGCGGUGUCCCAAACCCACCUAGAGGAGCCUGUUCUGUAACCGAUAAUCCCCGUUAAACCCUCACCACUUCUGGCCAUCCCCGUCUAUAUACCGCCGUCGUCAGCUCACCCUAUGAAGGUUAAAAAGUAAGCAAAAAGAACCAACUCCCAUACGUCAGGUCGAGGUGUAGCAAAUGAAGUGGAUAGAAAUGGGCUACAUUUUCUAUAAAGAAAACACGAAUGGUAGACUGAAAAAUUACCUAAAGGUGGAUUUAGCAGUAAGAAAAGAUUAGAGAAUUUCUCUGAAACCGGCUCUGGGACGCGCACACACCCCCCAAAACCAACAUCUGCAAAACAAAAGCCCCCCCGCCGUCUUUUUUUUUUUGGGGGGGGGGGGAACGACGGGGGGGGGGGGGGGUUGCAAAAAAAAAAAACACACCUCCCCCCGGGG